UGAGGAAUAUUGGACAAUGGACGAAAGUCUGAUCCAGCCAUGCCGCGUGAGUGAUGAAGGCCUUAGGGUUGUAAAACUCUUUAAGUAGGGAAGAUAAUGACGGUACCUACAGAAUAAGCCACGGCAAACUUCGUGCCAGCAGCCGCGGUAAUACGAAGGUGGCAAGCGUUACUCGGAAUUACUGGGCGUAAAGCGCGUGUAGGCGGGAAACUAAGUCAGGGGUGAAAUCCCAGAGCUUAACUCUGGAAUUGCCUUUGAAACUAGUUUUCUUGAGUAUGGUAGAGGAUGGUGGAAUUUCUAGUGUAGAGGUGAAAUUCGUAGAUAUUAGAAGGAACACCAGUGGCGAAGGCGACCAUCUGGACCAUUACUGACGCUGAGACGCGAAAGCGUGGGGAGCAAA
RNAcentral lists this ribosomal RNA (400 nucleotides) under uncultured bacterium. Its description in RNAcentral is "bacterial SSU rRNA". It matches the Rfam family "Bacterial small subunit ribosomal RNA", at positions 355 to 772 of the family's 1533-position model. The record is from RNAcentral.